AUUGAACGCUGGCGGCAUGCCUUACACAUGCAAGUCGAACGGCAGCACGGGUGCUUGCACCUGGUGGCGAGUGGCGAACGGGUGAGUAAUACAUCGGAACAUGUCCUGUAGUGGGGGAUAGCCCGGCGAAAGCCGGAUUAAUACCGCAUACGAUCUACGGAUGAAAGCGGGGGACCUUCGGGCCUCGCGCUAUAGGGUUGGCCGAUGGCUGAUUAGCUAGUUGGGGGGGUAAAGGCCUACCAAGGCGACGAUCAGUGGCUGGUCUGAGAGGACGACCAGCCACACUGGGACUGAGACACGGCCCAGACUCCUACGGGAGGCAGCAGUGGGGAAUUUUGGACAAUGGGCGAAAGCCUGAUCCAGCAAUGCCGCGUGUGUGAAGAAGGCCUUCGGGUUGUAAAGCACUUUUGUCCGGAAAGAAAUCCUUGGCCCUAAUACGGUCGGGGGAUGACGGUACCGGAAGAAUAAGCACCGGCUAACUACGUG
Molecule: ribosomal RNA, 486 nt
Filed under: uncultured bacterium
Lineage: Bacteria
Description: partial 16S ribosomal RNA
Rfam family: Bacterial small subunit ribosomal RNA
Source: RNAcentral